This 845-nucleotide ribosomal RNA is filed under the name uncultured bacterium. RNAcentral describes it as "bacterial SSU rRNA". It matches the Rfam family "Bacterial small subunit ribosomal RNA", at positions 8 to 882 of the family's 1533-position model. The record is from RNAcentral.
AGAGUUUGAUCCUGGCUCAGGAUGAACGCUGGCGGCGUGCCUAACACAUGCAAGUCGAGCGAUUCUCUUCGGAGAAGAGCGGCGGACGGGUGAGUAACGCGUGGGUAACCUGCCCUGUACACACGGAUAACAUACCGAAAGGUAUGCUAAUACGAGAUAAUAUGCUUUUAUCGCAUGGUAGAAGUAUCAAAGUUUUUGCGGUACAGGAUGGACCCGCGUCUGAUUAGCUAGUUGGUAAGGUAACGGCUUACCAAGGCGACGAUCAGUAGCCGACCUGAGAGGGUGAUCGGCCACAUUGGAACUGAGACACGGUCCAAACUCCUACGGGAGGCAGCAGUGGGGAAUAUUGCACAAUGGGCGAAAGCCUGAUGCAGCAACGCCGCGUGAGCGAUGAAGGCCUUCGGGUCGUAAAGCUCUGUCCUCAAGGAAGAUAAUGACGGUACUUGAGGAGGAAGCCCCGGCUAACUACGUGCCAGCAGCCGCGGUAAUACGUAGGGGGCUAGCGUUAUCCGGAAUUACUGGGCGUAAAGGGUGCGUAGGUGGUUUCUUAAGUCAGAGGUGAAAGGCUACGGCUCAACCGUAGUAAGCCUUUGAAACUGGGAAACUUGAGUGCAGGAGAGGAGAGUGGAAUUCCUAGUGUAGCGGUGAAAUGCGUAGAUAUUAGGAGGAACACCAGUUGCGAAGGCGGCUCUCUGGACUGUAACUGACACUGAGGCACGAAAGCGUGGGGAGCAAACAGGAUUAGAUACCCUGGUAGUCCACGCCGUAAACGAUGAGUACUAGCUGUCGGAGGUUACCCCCUUCGGUGGCGCAGCUAACGCAUUAAGUACUCCGCCUGGGAAGUA